AGCGUGGAGCGAAAAAGCAGUCAUCACACACAAACAUCACGUAGAUAUGGCAGCAGGGUCAUGUGACCGCGCCGCCCCACCGCCGCACGCGUGAUUCUCCCCCAUGUGCUCGCUCUAUUUUAAUUAAUUCAACCCCUCGCCGUGUGACAAAGCAGACGCGUGCGCGAGCCAGACUGCCAGAGCCAAGAGCAAAGCAGAGGAACAGCCGUGUUUGCGUUCGGCCUGCGAGAAAUAUUUAUUAUCUGCCGAAAUUUGACAGUCGCAUAUUGUGAUAUAGAGGCCGGGGGCUGGAGAUCCUGCAACGCUAGUCAGCCAAAUUUGCUUUCAAGACUGAAAUUAUUUUCAAGCAGAUAAGAAAAUGUUGCCCGUCCAUCACAUCACCCACGGCGAGUGUCCAGCAGGGCAGCGGCAACGCGCCCACGAGGUGCUGCAGCGGUUGCGAAGCGACAAGGAGCACGUACAAGAGAUGAUCGCGCGCGACCAUAGCGGCACCGGCAGCUACUUCAGUCCGGACGAUGCCAUGCUGAUCGCGGUGGCCUUCCUCGGCACACCCCUGUUCGCCAAGGGCAACAGCCCCCUGUGCGCCAAGGUGGCCAACGAACGUUGAGCUGCUUGUCUUAUUAAUGUCAAGCGAGAAGAGGGAAAUGAGACAGAGAGGAGCGUGUGCCAAAGCGUUUUUAGUCAACACGUGACGAUUGCUAGUCUGCAGAUGCAUAAUAAGUAGUUAUAAAUAUACCUCUUUUAAAUGUGAGCUUACGUGAGAUUCGUUUAUUCGCCAAAGCGUUGUUUUAUUUUAAUUAGCACGUUUAUUUGCCCGUCUCCGUGCGCGCGUAACGAUCGUUUUGCAUUUUUAUCAGCGCGUUGCAUGCACACACACACACACACACACUCACGGCGCGCGCAUAUUUUAACCCGACGCUCACCGCAGAGAUAACGCAGGCUGGAUUAUCCGCGGGAAUAUAAUAGCCGCUGGUUGAUGAUGUCGCUAUCUCGGGCGUGCACUCGCUGCUGAUUUCAAUGCAGGAAUCAUCCAACUUAUGUUGCAAUGCAAUUAUUUUCAAAGUGUAUAUGAGUGCACACAUUUCAAAAAUGUUCACCUUGCUUCAAUGCAAGAAUGCAUUUAUAUUAAUCUCGGGCUCUGGAUUUCUAGUUGGAAACUUCAAUGCUUGCUCUUGACGCUGGAUUUUUGAUCCAAUUAAGUAUAUUAUAUUAAUCUGUAUAAAGGCAAUUCAAAAAUAUGUGGAAGUAUAAUAAAAUGUCAACAAAUAAUUAUUGUUUCUUAAAA
Molecule: long non-coding RNA, 1285 nt
Organism: Cloeon dipterum
Lineage: Eukaryota; Metazoa; Arthropoda; Insecta; Ephemeroptera; Baetidae
Exons: 2
Source: RefSeq, a predicted model, not a curated record